Molecule: ribosomal RNA, 242 nt
Filed under: Pseudo-nitzschia fraudulenta
Lineage: Eukaryota; Bacillariophyta; Bacillariophyceae; Bacillariales; Bacillariaceae
Description: partial Bacterial small subunit ribosomal RNA
Rfam family: Bacterial small subunit ribosomal RNA
Source: RNAcentral
CCAGACUCCUACGGGAGGCAGCAGUGGGGAAUAUUGCACAAUGGGGGAAACCCUGAUGCAGCCAUGCCGCGUGUGUGAAGAAGGCCUUCGGGUUGUAAAGCACUUUCAGUAGGGAGGAAGGCUUAUCCUUAAUACGGAUGAGUACUUGACGUUACCUACAGAAGAAGCACCGGCUAAUUUCGUGCCAGCAGCCGCGGUAAUACGAAAGGUGCAAGCGUUAAUCGGAAUUACUGGGCGUAAAG